RNAcentral lists this ribosomal RNA (232 nucleotides) under uncultured bacterium. RNAcentral describes it as "partial 16S ribosomal RNA". It matches the Rfam family "Bacterial small subunit ribosomal RNA", at positions 15 to 237 of the family's 1533-position model. The record is from RNAcentral.
GAUCAUGGCUCAGGAUGAACGCUAGCUACAGGCUUAACACAUGCAAGUCGAGGGGCAGCAUGGUCUUAGCUUGCUAAGGCCGAUGGCGACCGGCGCACGGGUGAGUAACGCGUAUCCAACCUGCCUUACACUCUUGGACGGCCUUCUGAAGGGAGAUUAAUACAAGAUGUUAUCAUGAGUAAGCAUUUUCGUCAUGAUUAAAGGUUUACCGGUGUAAGAUGGGGAGUGCGUU